AAGAGUGUUGUUGGAGUUUUAUGUGUUGGUGUUGAUGGUGACGGGAUGAACAAGUUUUUAUCAGGUUUAAGCAAAAAGGGAACAACACAAACUUUUUCUUGAAGAUUUGGCACCGUCAACACCAUCACCGAAAAUCAACAAACCGCUUUUUGAGUUUCUGGAAAGAAGUAAAGCUGAAAAAGUACGAAGUAACCGAAACCCAACAAAAAAUGCUACGCUCAUUUUAAGAGAAUAUUUUGAUACAAGAAAUAUAGACUCAAGCUCUGAUGCCUUGGAAUUUUGGAAGAUGCGUGAUACUAGCGACAUAACUUUUCAAUUCUUGGCCAAAAAGUAUCUGUGCAUUCCAGCAACAUCCACAGAAAGCGAACGUAUGUUUAGUAAGGCUGGAUAUAUUUUAAGUGAGAAACGCAGCGCUUUAGAUGCAAAGCAUGUCGACAUGCUCACUUUUCUAAAUAGAAACGAAUGGAUCUCCAAUAUAUAGUUUAAGCCAGAUAUUGAU
Molecule: long non-coding RNA, 499 nt
Organism: Drosophila obscura
Lineage: Eukaryota; Metazoa; Arthropoda; Insecta; Diptera; Drosophilidae
Exons: 3
Source: RefSeq, a predicted model, not a curated record